Molecule: ribosomal RNA, 253 nt
Filed under: uncultured bacterium
Lineage: Bacteria
Description: partial 16S ribosomal RNA
Rfam family: Bacterial small subunit ribosomal RNA
Source: RNAcentral
UACGUAGGGCGCAAGCGUUGUCCGGAAUUAUUGGGCGUAAAGAGCUCGUAGGCGGCUUGUCACGUCGGGUGUGAAAGCCCGGGGCUUAACCCCGGGUCUGCAUUCGAUACGGGCUAGCUAGAGUGUGGUAGGGGAGAUCGGAAUUCCUGGUGUAGCGGUGAAAUGCGCAGAUAUCAGGAGGAACACCGGUGGCGAAGGCGGAUCUCUGGGCCAUUACUGACGCUGAGGAGCGAAGGCCAGGGGAGCAAACGGG